UACGAGGGGUGCAAACGUUAUUCGGAAUCAUUGGGCGUAAAGGGUGCGUAGACUGCGAAUCAAGUCAGUUGUUAAAUCUUCUAGCUCAACUAGAAGCCUGUAACUGAAACUGGUUUGCUUGAGGGUGGAAGAGAGAAGCGGAAUUCUCGGAGUAGCGGUAAAAUGCGUAGAUCUCGAGAGGAACACCGAUGGCGAAGGCAGCUUCUUGGUCCAUUUCUGACGUUGAGGCACGAAAGCGUGGGGAGCAAACAGG
This 253-nucleotide ribosomal RNA is filed under the name uncultured bacterium. RNAcentral describes it as "partial 16S ribosomal RNA". It matches the Rfam family "Bacterial small subunit ribosomal RNA", at positions 524 to 776 of the family's 1533-position model. The record is from RNAcentral.